CCGUCAAGGACGCCUGCGUCGGUAAAGUAGACUUAGUCGCAACCUGAAGCGGAUGGUUGCUCCAGUGCGCCGUCGACCGUCGAAGGUUGCUGGUCGCCGCUGCCGCUCUUGUCCCGCUGUCGAUCCGCCGGUGUGACACGGAAGAGUGCGAUAGUGCUUCGCGAGAAUCAUCAUCCUGCUGAUCGGUCGACUGAUCGGCGAGGUGUUAUCUCUUGUGAGAGGGAGGAGAGGCUGGUCGCGAUCCGUCGAGGAACUGGCGUGUUUUCGGAGCAGGUGCUCCCGUCGGUAGGGACUCUCGUCUGUGUCUCAGGUGUAUCCCUGUACCACGACGUUGGGGAAAUCUGUGUGUCGGUUGGCGAAAAAUGCUCAUCCGACUGGUUAGAGGGGACUCCGUCAAUCGGUGAUUCGCCUGCGAUCUUCACCUCUCGCGCGGAGAUAUUGCGAGGUGGCUGGGGAUGGGCGGGGAAUUGGCGUCAGGAACGCGGAUCUUGCCGGCAAUCCGUGUACUUUCAGAUGCGGUUGAGAAGUCAAAUUGAUCUCUUCUCGGCGCCGUAGGACUCUUCAGAGAUCACACACGCAGUGCGCGCACGGCCGCGUUUGUGCUCGAGCGUUUACGGAGAUUUGUCAUCGGGAUGACCAGAACGGUCUUCAACUUGGCGUCCGCCGACGCGAUAUCGUCACGUGCGCCAAUCGCUAAUCAGUGAUUAAUGGACCGAAUCCAUUGAAUCGAGGCCGACAGACGGAAAAUCGGCCGGCGAAGUGAGAUUUGCGAGCGAAGAAAGAGAUAGAUAGAUAGAGGAAGGGCGGGAGGAAGAGAAAGGUGGUGUAGGUGGGAGGAAGGAGAAAAGUGAUUUUAUUCCUGUGAGUGCGAAAAGCCGUCCGUGACGAAAACUCGAGGACCAUGACGGAGGGCGAGCCCAACGUGAGUGUAAGUGUUUACAUCAUGUUUAUUUCAAGUAGGGGGACGGUAAGUCGAUUAUUUCACCAAUACAUAUUGUUAUCAUUGAUACGCAUUGUAUCCGGGAUAAUACACUUAUCGUUAUUCACACCGUUUUAUGGCCGCAGGAUCGUUUUAUGACGUUAAUAGCGGAAUUUAUUUCGCGAAUUUAUUCAGCGUGACAAGAAUUCCUUUCUUUAGAAGCGGUGCUUUUUGAAGUGGGGCUUUUUAUCAUUCAAACAGAGGCGGCAUUUAUUACAUAAUAACAAGCGAUUCUCUUCACUUCUCCAUAUGAGUUAUCGAUCAGAGUAUGAUUAAUGCAUCUUCAGCAUUUUCGCUUGCGCGCGAUUGAUGUUUUGCAAUUACGCUCGUAAUAAUUACGUAACGUUAACGGCGCAUACAUGCCGCGUGUGUGUGUGUUGCGAUCGAUAAACGCCUCAUUUCCUGCCGACUGGCAAUAACGUCGGCUUAAUCGGCAUCGUUCUUUUGGGCGUGCGUCGUAUGCGCGUCGAUCGAUCGAUCGAUCGUGAUUCAGUAGGCGGCGAUGUUACUGUUUGCAGUGUAUGAUGUUUUUGUUGCUAAUUUAGCUGGUGGUUGGAUGAAAUCCGGCCGAUGCGUCAAAUUAUCGCUAAAUUACCGACCACUUUGUUUUGCCACAACGAUUGACGUUUCAACAAAGACAGAAUUGUUAAUGGAUCUGAAUUGCUUAAUAAUUUUGCUCAUACAUCACUUAUCUAUGUUAAUAGUGCAAGAGAUCGCGGUAAGGUUCUUUCAAACCUUGCACGCGUCUGUUUCUCUUCUCAAUUUGAGCCGUACGUUAUAUCGCUAUGAGAUUAUAUUGAAAAUUAGAAUAUUGAAAAGCACGGAAUGAGAAGUGGAGAAAGUGAAUUUGUUGGCGCGCAUUAUCUUGCUAAGAGAUAUUUCAUGUAUGUAAAUGCUACCAAUAUAUUUCGGUAAGCGCAAGACGCGUGUACGUUGCGAAGAAAAAGAGAGAGUUGGGAUAGGGUGUGCUCCGUCUAUCUGCACUGUGUCUACGUACACUGUAUCGCGAUUCAACUUUCCUGCGAACCCUCUUCUGGGUGCUUCUGCCGCACUUUGAGUCGCUGCCAAUUCAAUUCUCACUCGCGGCGGGUGCUCACGAGGAUAGGAUGGAGCCGCGAGAAGAGUUGCAGAGGGUGCUUCGAUAGGGGUGGGAAUGGGUGGAUUGGACUCGCGGUCGCUUUCUACCAGCGGCGGGAUUCAGGAACGGCGAAACGACGGGACAUCCCCGCCGUGCUUUCUUCAUUUUCUCUCCCCGGAUAAUUACUUUAAGAACAGAGUGAUAUAACUCGCUCUAAUAUAAAUUCCGUCCCUGUCCCCUCGAGUUUGCAGCCCUGCUGUUAGAUCUUAUCAGUUUUGUUCUGUCAGGUGUCGCACGCUGAAAGACGGAGGAAAAACUUAAGAGUGGAAAAUAACUUGCGAGAAAAUUUAAUUCCUCCGUGAUUGAUUAAAAAUUGCUUGCGUAAGUACAGAAAUUUCUUCGCGAAAAGUAUAUCUUGUCUUUAUCUUGUACUUUUCUUUUCUAUCGUUCGCGAAUUUCGUCGUCUUUAAUUCUUGUGCAUAAUAAUAGCGAUUGCUCAAUUGAAUCUCAAAUUCCCGAGGAUUUUCUGAAAAUAUAUUAUAAGUAAAAUCUAUUUUUUCGCACGCGCGCGCGCGCGUGUGUGUGUGAAUAUUGAACAAAAUGCUGAGCAAAAAUGACGGCGCUACAUCGCGUCGUCUUGGCAAAACUACCUGGAACUAUCCGCCACUGUUACUCUGUUAUACCAUGAGAUAAGUUGGAAGAAAUACUUCCGUAGUGGCUGGCGAACGCGUCAAAGAUGCGAGAAGAUAUUACACAGCCUUGGAAUAUGAGUGCGGAUCGAUGAAUUUUCAAGAUUAUUCCCCGUCUUUCUCUUCCCUUUUUCUCUCUUGCGCCCUACUUCCGGAUGCGGUUUCUUUUUCCCGCAAUGAAAUUCCGCGGCGCUUGCGAAAUAUUCGCGUGGAUUGAAUCAAUGCGGCUCCCCGAGGCAUCGAGUAUUGUCGCAAUUUUCAUAGGUAUUAUAUUAUACGCUACUCUCUUGAAUCACUGCCAAGUGAUAUACAUGGCAGCGCAUCAUGAAGAAGUGAACACGUAAAUAGGUCACGCGAAUGCCGUUGCGCCGAGUUCUAUCCGCUAUUAGCUAGCUCGCUAGCUUUAGCGACGUUUCCCCUUUAUCUCGUCCCGAGAUGAAUCGAGAGAAUGACGUGACCGGACACGAUGCAUUUUAUCCCUUAGUCAAAGGAACCUCGCAGGCGGACAGUCGAAGUCAUCCAAAUUGUCCCCCGGGCUCGGAUAAAACUCAGUCGUGGACGUUCUUCUUGUCAAUGGAGCGAAGAGACUCGGUUAAAACAAGAAAACGAGCUCUUGAUGAAACGAUCGAGGAGUCUCGGCGAGAGUAAUUGAAACUUGCUCGGCAUUCUGCCUUAGAGCGCAGCUUCUUUCGAAAUGCCGGACUGAAAAUCAGAUUUUGCGGAAAGAAUUGUUCUAUUUACGAGGAGACUUGAAAGAAAUUGAUUCCCGGUUAACGUUACUUAGCCGCCCUGUGAGAUACAUUUGACACCACUGAUACUUUUUAUGUGCUUCAUACAAGGAUAUUUCUCGCGAGAUUCAUUGUAGUUUAUACGAGUUUCACGCGGAAUAUCUUGACAGUUUUAAUCAUUUAUACUGAAAUGUACGUAAUAAAAUAUAUCGAAAUAAUAUGAAAAAUUAACGUGCGCGCGCAGAGAGAGAGAAAGAGAGAGAGACGCAUGAUUAACUUGGAUCAAGACGAACUGACGCGCAACAUUCUUCCUACAUCCCUCGAGAACGGCGAUGGGAUUCCGAAGAAGGGUCAAGCGUUCAUCGUGAUCUAAAUUAUAGCGUUGUCCGCUAUCUAAAUUCCGUUGUCGACGCAACGAAUGAUCGCGUUAUCAUUAUGAGCACCUUAUUACGAGGGUCAACUACGAUGGUCACGAUGCCAUUUGCUGUCCUCGGAGAAAAGCAUAUGGCUCGGGGGGGAUUAAGGCGAGAAAGAGGAAGGAGGACGGACGAUCGGUGCUUGCACCGAAGAAAAUAAUAGUCUUCUCAUUCUCGAUUAAACGUUCAAUGGCGCUCGAUAGAAACGGACUGGCACCGUGUAAACGCUGCUUUUAUUGCCGCGCGGAAUCGCCGCGCGCACUCCUACGAAAAUCACAUCUUUAUGGAUUACGGAAUAUCUCACAUUCAGCACAUUACGGGCAUCAAUGGGAUCGCAAGCAGGAGGACACGUUCCUUGGCGAUUCCGCGACGUGCCAUGCUUGCGGACGAAGCGGGGGACAAGUGGGAGAACUGUAUAAAAAGUCCUUCCAAUUCGAUCAGGACAGUCAACCCAAGCCGGCGACGUACGUUCCAGAAUUCGAAGUAUCUCGAGUUUCCGCUCAAUUAUUCAUGAUAUUCACGUAAAUAAUGAUAUUAAUUAGCGAUUAUUCGCAUACUACUAUCACAAGCAGGACAUGAUAAUCGAUCACGUCGACAUGUAUUCGGUUUAAAUUAAAAAGUUUGAUUUAUUUUUUUACGGAAAAAACACCCUUUUGGUACAGUGCAAUAUACAUAAUUAAAAAAGAAAGAAAGAAAAAAAUUAUCUACAUUCGUCGAGGUAAAUGCAGCAAUACGUAUAUAAAACUGCUUAAAUGAAGUUAAUAUUAACUAAAUCAUGAAUCAAGUAAAGUUUAAUCAUGAAUUAAAUAGAGUUUUCAUAUUAGUUUCAUAUUAGUUUUUAAAUUAUAACGGCGAUUAUUCUCUCGAUGAAUAAUUUAUUCCUAUUAAAUAUUCCUAUACAAUAAAAUCAAAUUUGACCUAAAAGUUCGAACCAAACUUUUCAACUGUAUCAAUAUUUCUUCGAGGAGCGUGGAGACGAAUCAAAGACGCGAAUUCGGUUACGGUUUACGAGAAUGGCGUAACGAUUACGUAUGUUUCUACGAAUAACUCUAAUAGAAACUGAAUCUCGUCGGUGUUUAGUCACGAGAUAAUACAUUUGUGCCUAACAUCACUACUAAUCAAUAAUGUCACGUCCACUUCUCCUAAUGCCUAGACAAAUAAGUUAGCUAGUGAUUAAACAAACGAAAUUGCAAUCAUGAGAUGAAAAACCAUAAGUAGUUGUUAGCCAGUAAUAUUACGUCCAAUUCUGCUUGUUUGAGAUUUUUAAUGAAACUAACGUAACCUCAAUUUUGCUCUCAUUUUUUUAAUGCUAGUGAUAAUGUAGCUAGAUUAUAUUUUUUAGAAUAAACUGUGCCGUCUACUUUAUCAUAUUUGAUAUAUAAUGGCUAAGUAACGGCUAGACCGCAUUUCCCGUAUUUCAGUGGAAUCAGUAACGAGUCAGUAAUGAGUUGGAAAAUGUAAUCUAGUCUGUACUAGCUAGCUACUAGCUUUUGAUUCAGGUUGGCUAGUUAUAUUUCUAGUUGAGAAGUAUCAAAGCGACGGACGUUUAGCAUUAUUGCAACUGUCGUCGCUGCGCUUUCGCACUUUUUGCGCGAAACGUAAGAGUAAACAGCGCAGAAGAAUCUCUGAACAUCGAUUCGAGACGGGCAAGUCAGGCAACAAUGGGCGUUACAUCGCAAAGAAACUUGCUGUCCGAAGUAAUGACGCUACAAUUUUCACAGCGGCGCCAAUUUUUCCACAGCGUGCCCAGAGAUAGUGAAAGAAAAUACGGGCUUGCCAAGCAAGCCAACGAGUAUCUGCGGCGAAGACUCGUUGCAACUAUAGAGAGAGAUCCGCGACCAUAGCAGUGUUAUUGACGAGUUUGCUCGUAAUACGAGAAUGACGGAUGGACGGGCGAGGGUGUGCGGUUCUCUCCACCGCGUUCUCGAUUUCCCAUAGAAAUGCUAACCGGUUCGUUACUGAGCCGUAUCUGUGUAAGGACGGGGGUGGAUGAACCAUGAAAAACCGGACUGUGGGCGCGUAACACAGCGACGAUUUCUCUCUCCUUCUCCCUAUUCCUCCCUUCCUCCCUCCCCGCUUCCCAUGUCGCGAGAAGGCCGAAAAAAAGAGGGUUGGCGGAUCUGGUCACAGGGUGAGCUAAGCGAUAGGAUUUGUGUAAGCUCGUGAACGGGAGAACGACGCGGAGAUCCGGUUGUCGUCGGUUUGUAAAGGACGUGUCGCGGCUUUUUGCGGAUCUUUGUAUCGGCUGAGGAUUUGGAAGGAGUAGAGCACUGAUAAGUCGCUUUUCAAACCGCCUCUUGCAGUCUCCAGCAGCAGUAGCGAGUAUUGUAAAUAAGUUACAGGACGUAACGGGAGGAAAGAAUCGAACUUGAGGUUUGUGUUGCCCGCAAGACUCGAGAGAUGGAGAAGAAAGAAAAGAAUUCUCCCGUAAAUACACGAUCUCUCCUUUUUACGUUAUAAGCUUUCGACCGAGUCAAAAGCUGGUUGAACUUGGCGCAUCCCGCCUUCACGGCCGAGUUAAGUAUCGUGGUGGUGGAUACGAACGGCUUGAAGCGCGUCUGUCGCGUUCAACUUCGUUGACAUUUCGUCGCGGACCGCUCGAGACGGACGGACGGGUUAACUCGUCGCCGAUCAAUGCAUCGAGAGAAAGAGAGUCGGAGUUGGAAAGAGGAAGAGAGCACGACCGAACCACCUCCUCGCCGAGGAAGACAACGACGUCUCGGAUGAGUAAAACGCACACUUGCGGCUCACCGAUUUUCCUCUCCUCGCAUUCAAGUCGCGGUACCACCUAUCUAUCCGCCCCAUUGUUUGACGAGGAUCCGGGCAACAAUGGCAACGAGCGCCGUCCGGGUAUUUAUCACCGUCGAUUUUCCGGCCGGUGGAAAAUCGCUUUGCACGUGCUCGAGGAAUAGGUGUGGCGGAAGAGGCGUAGAGAGCGGCUGAAGGAGAGGAAGCACAAGAAAGAGGGAGAGUGGAGUGCGAGGAAUUGAUA
Long non-coding RNA from Odontomachus brunneus, 6882 nucleotides. RefSeq lists it as uncharacterized. The record is from RefSeq and is a predicted model, not a curated record. The transcript is spliced from 3 exons. NCBI's taxonomy places the organism in Eukaryota, Metazoa, Arthropoda, Insecta, Hymenoptera, Formicidae.